AGAGCGAACGCUGGCGGCAGGCCUAAUACAUGCAAGUCGAACGAAGCCUUCGGGCUUAGUGGCGGACGGGUGAGUAACACGUGGGAACGUACCCUUUGGUUCGGAACAACUCAGGGAAACUUGAGCUAAUACCGAAUGUGCCCCCAUCCUUAAAAAAGAUGGGUGGGAAAGAUUUAUCGCCAUUGGAGCGGCCCGCGUCUGAUUAGCUAGUUGGUGAGGUAAAGGCCCACCAAGGCUACGAUCAGUAGCUGGUCUGAGAGGAUGAUCAGCCACACUGGGACUGAGACACGGCCCAGACUCCUACGGGAGGCAGCAGUAGGGAAUCUUGCGCAAUGGGCAAAGCCUGACGCAGCCAUGCCGCGUGAAUGAUGAAGGUCUUAGGAUUGUAAAAUUCUUUCAGCGGGGACGAUAAUGACGGUACCCGCAGAAGAAGCCCGGCUAACUUCGCGCCAGCAGCCGC
RNAcentral lists this ribosomal RNA (460 nucleotides) under uncultured bacterium. RNAcentral's name for it is "SSU rRNA". It matches the Rfam family "Bacterial small subunit ribosomal RNA", at positions 26 to 518 of the family's 1533-position model. The record is from RNAcentral.